Molecule: transfer RNA, 76 nt
Filed under: Cellvibrio mixtus
Lineage: Bacteria; Pseudomonadati; Pseudomonadota; Gammaproteobacteria; Cellvibrionales; Cellvibrionaceae
Also listed under: 15 other names
Description: tRNA-Ala
Rfam family: tRNA
About the family: Transfer RNA (tRNA) molecules are approximately 80 nucleotides in length. Their secondary structure includes four short double-helical elements and three loops (D, anti-codon, and T loops).
Source: RNAcentral
GGGGCUAUAGCUCAGCUGGGAGAGCGCCUGCCUUGCACGCAGGAGGUCAACGGUUCGAUCCCGUUUAGCUCCACCA